Molecule: ribosomal RNA, 918 nt
Filed under: uncultured archaeon
Lineage: Archaea
Description: bacterial SSU rRNA
Rfam family: Archaeal small subunit ribosomal RNA
Source: RNAcentral
CCGGUUGAUCCCGCCGGAGGUCACUGCUAUCGGGGUUCGAUUAAGCCAUGCGAGUUGAGAGGGUUUAGACCCUCAGCGGACUGCUCAGUAACACGUGGAUAACCUGCCCUAUGGUGGAGAAUAACCCCGGGAAACUGGGGAUAAUACUCCAUAGAUUAGAGAUACUGGAAUGUUCUUUAAUCGAAAGUUGAGGCGCCAUAGGAUGGAUCUGCGGUCGAUUAGGUUGUUGUUGGGGUAACGGCCCAACAAGCCUGUAAUCGAUACGGGUUGUGGGAGCAAGAGCCCGGAGAUGGAAUCUGAGACACGAUUCCAGGCCCUACGGGGCGCAGCAGGCGCGAAAACUUUACAAUGCAGGAAACUGUGAUAAGGGAACCCCGAGUGCCCGUAUACGCGGGCUGUCCAGGUGUUUAAAAAGCAUCUGAAGGAAGGGCCGGGCAAGACCGGUGCCAGCCGCCGCGGUAAUACCGGCGGCUCGAGUGGUGGCCACUAUUAUUGGGCUUAAAGCGUCCGUAGCUGGACUCUUAAGUCUCUUGGGAAAUCCGCCGGCUUAACCGACGGGCGUCUAAGAGAUACUGGGAGUCUAGGGACCGGGAGAGGUGAGAGGUACUCCGGGGGUAGGAGUGAAAUCCUGUAAUCCCCGGGGGACCACCGAUGGCGAAGGCAUCUCACCAGAACGGCUCCGACAGUGAGGGACGAAAGCUGGGGGAGCGAACCGGAUUAGAUACCCGGGUAGUCCCAGCCGUAAACUAUGCGCGUUAGGUGUACUGGUGACCACGAGUCACUGGGGUGCCGAAGGGAAACCGUGAAACGUGCCGCCUGGGAAGUACGGUCGCAAGGCUGAAACUUAAAGGAAUUGGCGGGGGAACACCACAACGGGUGGAGCCUGCGGUUUAAUUGGAUUCAACGCCGGAAAUCUCU